UACGGGGGGGGCAAGCGUUGUUCGGAAUUACUGGGCGUAAAGGGCCCGUAGGCGGCCAACUAAGUCCGACGUGAAAUCCCCAGGCUUAACCUGGGAACUGCGUCGGAUACUGGAUGGCUUGAAUUCGGGAGAGGGAUGCAGAAUUCCAGGUGUAGCGGUGAAAUGCGUAGAUAUCUGGAGGAACACCGGUGGCGAAGGCGACAUCCUGGACCGGUAUUGACGCUGAGGCGCGAAAGCCAGGGGAGCAAACGGG
This 253-nucleotide ribosomal RNA is filed under the name uncultured bacterium. RNAcentral's name for it is "partial 16S ribosomal RNA". It matches the Rfam family "Bacterial small subunit ribosomal RNA", at positions 524 to 776 of the family's 1533-position model. The record is from RNAcentral.